This 559-nucleotide ribosomal RNA is filed under the name Buttiauxella sp. RNAcentral describes it as "bacterial SSU rRNA". It matches the Rfam family "Bacterial small subunit ribosomal RNA", at positions 193 to 733 of the family's 1533-position model. The record is from RNAcentral. Lineage: Bacteria; Pseudomonadati; Pseudomonadota; Gammaproteobacteria; Enterobacterales; Enterobacteriaceae.
UCUUCGGACCAAAGAGGGGGACCUUCGGGCCUCUUGCCAUCAGAUGUGCCCAGAUGGGAUUAGAUAGUAGGUGGGGUAAUGGCUCACCUAGGCGACGAUCCCUAGCUGGUCUGAGAGGAUGACCAGCCACACUGGAACUGAGACACGGUCCAGACUCCUACGGGAGGCAGCAGUGGGGAAUAUUGCACAAUGGGCGCAAGCCUGAUGCAGCCAUGCCGCGUGUAUGAAGAAGGCCUUCGGGUUGUAAAGUACUUUCAGCGAGGAGGAAGGCAUUAAGGUUAAUAACCUUAGUGAUUGACGUUACUCGCAGAAGAAGCACCGGCUAACUCCGUGCCAGCAGCCGCGGUAAUACGGAGGGUGCAAGCGUUAAUCGGAAUUACUGGGCGUAAAGCGCACGCAGGCGGUCUGUCAAGUCGGAUGUGAAAUCCCCGGGCUCAACCUGGGAACUGCAUUCGAAACUGACAGGCUAGAGUCUUGUAGAGGGGGGUAGAAUUCCAGGUGUAGCGGUGAAAUGCGUAGAGAUCUGGAGGAAUACCGGUGGCGAAGGCGGCCCCCUGGA